AUUGAACGCUGGCGGCAGGCCUAACACAUGCAAGUCGAGCGGAUGAAGGGAGCUUGCUCCUGGAUUCAGCGGCGGACGGGUGAGUAAUUCCUAGGAAUCUGCCUGGUAUUGGGGGAUAACGUCCGGAAACGGGCGCUAAUACCGCAUACGUCCUGAGGUAGAAAGUGGGGGAUCUUCGGACCUCACGCUAUCAGCUGAGCCUAGGUCGGAUUAGCUAGUUGGUGGGGUAAGGGCCUACCAAGGCGACGAUCCGUAACUGGUCUGAGAGGAUGAUCAGUCACACUGGAACUGAGACACGGUCCAGACUCCUACGGGAGGCAGCAGUGGGGAAUCUUGGACAAUGGGCGAAAGCCUGAUCCAGCCAUGCCGCGUGUGUGAAGAAGGUCUUCGGAUUGUAAAGCACUUUAAGUUGGGAGGAAGGGAAGUAAGUUAAUACCUUGAUGUUUUGACGUUACCAACAGAAUAAGCACCGGCUAACUUCGUG
This 484-nucleotide ribosomal RNA is filed under the name uncultured bacterium. RNAcentral's name for it is "partial 16S ribosomal RNA". It matches the Rfam family "Bacterial small subunit ribosomal RNA", at positions 30 to 507 of the family's 1533-position model. The record is from RNAcentral.